Molecule: ribosomal RNA, 253 nt
Filed under: uncultured bacterium
Lineage: Bacteria
Description: partial 16S ribosomal RNA
Rfam family: Bacterial small subunit ribosomal RNA
Source: RNAcentral
UACAGAGGUCCCAAGCGUUGUUCGGAUUCAUUGGGCGUAAAGGGUGCGUAGGUGGCGCUGUAAGUGGGGUGUGAAAUUUCGGAGCUUAACUCCGAAACUGCAUUCCAUACUGCGGUGCUUGAGGACUGGAGAGGAGACUGGAAUUUACGGUGUAGCAGUGAAAUGCGUAGAGAUCGUAAGGAAGACCAGUGGCGAAGGCGGGUCUCUGGACAGUUCCUGACACUGAGGCACGAAAGCCAGGGGAGCAAACGGG